CACGGGGGGAGCAAGCGUUGUUCGGAUUUACUGGGCGUAAAGGGCGCGUAGGCGGUCAGUGCAAGUCAGUUGUGAAAUCUCCGGGCUUAACUCGGAAAGGUCAACUGAUACUGCUCGACUAGAGUGCGGAAGGGGCAACUGGAAUUCUUGGUGUAGCGGUGAAAUGCGUAGAUAUUCGGAAGAACACCAGUGGCGAAGGCGGCUCACUGGUCCGGUACUGACGCUGAGGUGCGAAAGCGUGGGGAGCAAACAGG
RNAcentral lists this ribosomal RNA (254 nucleotides) under uncultured bacterium. Its description in RNAcentral is "partial 16S ribosomal RNA". It matches the Rfam family "Bacterial small subunit ribosomal RNA", at positions 524 to 776 of the family's 1533-position model. The record is from RNAcentral.